Molecule: non-coding RNA, 471 nt
Organism: Talpa occidentalis (Iberian mole)
Lineage: Eukaryota; Metazoa; Chordata; Mammalia; Eulipotyphla; Talpidae
Source: the annotation of a RefSeq genome assembly
AUGAGACACUGGGAUGCGUUCUUGGGGUUUCUGUGGGUCCAGGUUUGCUGGGUGAGAGGGAUGCAAGUGGAGCAGAGUCCUCCAUCCUUGAGUCUCCCGGAGGGAAACAGCUCCACGUUUAGAUGCAACUUUUCUAGCUCUGUGCAAGGAGUGCAGUGGUUCCGACAGAACCCCGGGGGCGGCCUGGUCACCCUGUUUUACACAGCUUCAGGGACUCCGAAGAAGGAGGGAAGGUUAACCACCACACUGAACUUUAAGGAGUACAGCACCCUGCACAUCGAGGGCUUCCAGCUGGAGGACUCAGCCACCUACCUGUGUGCGGUGCAGGCACAGUGCUCCGGGGUGAUGUGCAGCCUGUACCCAAACUGCAGCUGGGCCCCAGCCCACCCCUUCUUGGGAGUGGGGGCAAGUCUGUGUCUCUGCAAGGCUCCAAAGAAAAGGACAGUAAAUCUUGUGGAUAAAUUAUUAUAA